GGCCGGCUGACGAGUCCCAAACAGGACGAAACAGCUGUCCAGUGC
Molecule: non-coding RNA, 45 nt
Filed under: Echinostoma caproni
Lineage: Eukaryota; Metazoa; Platyhelminthes; Trematoda; Plagiorchiida; Echinostomatidae
Source: RNAcentral